RNAcentral lists this ribosomal RNA (428 nucleotides) under Rhizopus arrhizus. Its description in RNAcentral is "eukaryotic LSU rRNA". It matches the Rfam family "Eukaryotic large subunit ribosomal RNA", at positions 234 to 615 of the family's 3401-position model. Lineage: Eukaryota; Fungi; Mucoromycota; Mucoromycetes; Mucorales; Rhizopodaceae. The record is from RNAcentral.
CAUUUGCCUUUUGUGAUACGCUUUCAAAGAGUCAGGUUGUUUGGGAAUGCAGCCUAAAUUGGGUGGUAAAUCUCACCUAAAGCUAAAUAUUGGCGAGAAACCGAUAGCGAACAAGUACCGUGAGGGAAAGAUGAAAAGAACUUUGAAAAGAGAGUUAAACAGUAUGUGAAAUUGUUAAAAGGGAACCGUUUGGAGCCAGACUGGCUUGUCUGUAAUCAAUCUAGGCUUCGGCCUGGAUGCACUUGCAGGCUAUGCCUGCCAACGACAAUUUGACUUGAGGGAAAAAACUAGGGGAAAUGUGGCCCACUUGUGGGUGUUAUAGUCCCUUAGAAAAUACCUUGGGUUGGAUUGAGGAACGCAGCGAAUGCUUAUUGGCGAGUUUUCCAGGAAGGUUUUCUGAGGUACUACGGUAUCAAGGUUGAUCUUUU